This is a transfer RNA of Cavia porcellus (domestic guinea pig), 71 nucleotides long. It matches the Rfam family "tRNA". From Rfam's summary of the family: Transfer RNA (tRNA) molecules are approximately 80 nucleotides in length. Their secondary structure includes four short double-helical elements and three loops (D, anti-codon, and T loops). The record is from Rfam. Lineage: Eukaryota; Metazoa; Chordata; Mammalia; Rodentia; Caviidae.
GGGUAUUUAGCUCAGUGGCAUAAGCACCUGCCUUGCAAGCAGGUGGUCGAGAGUUUGAUCUCCGGUACCGA